GCCUGGCCUCGGGCCUGCCAGGCCUGUCUCUGGCAGUAAGAGUGUUGGGGACACCUGUCAUUGCUAGUUCUUGAAUUAUGCAGACUCUGGACUCCAGAAGGCCUCAGUUCGGAUCCAGACUGCUACUUAGCAGCUGUCUCCUUGGCAGGUCCUUCAGCGUCUGAGCCGUGGUGCCCUCAUCUCUAGAAUAGGGACAGUGACAACACCUCUCUGAAAGGUGGCUGCCAAGAUCGGAGAUGCUUAGACCCUUCUGCCUGGAGGAGGGGCCUUCCUUCCAGUGCCCUGACAGGUAACCCAAUGAUUGAAACUGCAAGGAGGUCAGGUGGUAGAUGAGGAUGGCACCACAGUUCAGAAGCAACCAGAUGGCAGUAGGGAUUAGCCGUGUUAUCACUCCAUUUUUGCCAGAGUAGCCGGAAAUAAUGAAAUUCCUGACUUUUACUAGUUGGCAGCUAAUUCACAUUUAGCAUUGUGUCAGGCUGGGGGCCAGGUGUGCUCAUUGGUAGAGCGCUUGCCCGGCAUUGUCCAGGCCCUGCUUCCAUACCAGCACUGCGGGAAGAAAUGUGUGGGCCAGACAGCCCUCCUGUGGCCCAGAUCUAUGGUCUGCUCUCACCUUUGCUCAGGGUGUUUGGGAUUUUCACAGCAGGCCCGAGGGCAGUUGAGGGCAUCAGCUUUGAAGCCCAGUAGAUCUGGGAUGACUGGAGGCCUCCAUACUCCAGCUGUGCGGCCUGGAGCCAUGCGCUGAACUUGGAGCCUCUGCUUGUCUCUGGCCAGAAGUGUCCCCUGGUUCAUGGCAGGUGUGGAGCUGGGUUGGGGGUGGGAGGUGCCGCUGAGCUGCUGAUCUCAGUGCUGCAGUGAGGGUGCAGGAAGCAGUAGGCUCCUCCUGUUCUUUGCAGCAGGUUUCCAGGCCUUGUCAUGGUAGGCCAGCAAGAUGGUCCUUGGGUUCUUCCCACUGAGUUGGUCAGCAAAUGUCUGAGCAUCCAGAGCUGGCCACCUGCAGGAAUCUGCCUUAGUGGCUGUAGUGCCCCAUUCUAUCUGCUGUGCCCGAGCCCACCUUACUUCCCUGGGCAGUGAGACAGGGUAACCCCAGAGCCCGAGCAGCUCUGAGGAACAGGCCUCGUGAGGAUUUGUAGGGUGAAGGGCAUUAGCACUCUGCAGCGUGCUUGGCAGAGCAUGCACUCAGAGUGACUGUGGUAGCAAUAUUUCAGUUUCUUUGAAGUGACUGUGUUGGUCAUUUUAACAUUUCGAGCAUGGACUAUGGUCCAUAUGCUGGUGAGGUACUCAGGAUGGAGUGAUGCCUAAAACUGACAGAACUCCUGAUCUCAAAGCUUACAGCACAGAGUGCAUGACAAGCCAGGGCUGGGGAUCUAGCUCAGUGACACAGUGCCUGCCUGGCAAGCAUGAAGUCCUGAGUUUGAUUCCUGGUACCAAAAAAAAAAAAAAGACAUAAGCCAAAAGGGAGCUAAAAAGGCUGAUAUGUCAGGAGGUGGUACUGCUGUAGACAGAAGUAAAGUGAGAAAAGGAGCCUGGGAGUGGAAGGGAUUGCAGUUUUAAAUUGAGUGGAAGCUGACAGUGAAGGCACACUUGUGUAAUCCCAGCACUCAGA
This is a long non-coding RNA of Chinchilla lanigera (long-tailed chinchilla), 1603 nucleotides long. RefSeq lists it as uncharacterized. NCBI's taxonomy places the organism in Eukaryota, Metazoa, Chordata, Mammalia, Rodentia, Chinchillidae. The transcript has 2 exons. The record is from RefSeq and is a predicted model, not a curated record.